AGUUGCUAACGCGUGAAGGCGAGCACUCUAGACGAACUGCCGUUGACAAAACGGAGGAAAGGUGGGGAUGACGUCAAAUCAUCAUGCCCCUUAUGUUCUGGGCUACACACGUGCUACAAUGGCCGGUACAGACGGACGCAAAGCCGCGAGGUGGAGCAAAUCCUAAAAAGCCGGUCUCAGUUCGGAUUGCAGGCUGCAAUUCGCCUGCAUGAAGUCGGAAUCGCUAGUAAUCGCAGGUCAGCAUACUGCGGUGAAUACGUUCCCGGGCCUU
RNAcentral lists this ribosomal RNA (271 nucleotides) under uncultured Bacillus sp. Its description in RNAcentral is "partial 16S ribosomal RNA". It matches the Rfam family "Bacterial small subunit ribosomal RNA", at positions 1113 to 1382 of the family's 1533-position model. The record is from RNAcentral. Lineage: Bacteria; Bacillati; Bacillota; Bacilli; Caryophanales; Bacillaceae.